CAGCGACUCGGGGAGA
RNAcentral lists this small RNA (16 nucleotides) under Bombyx mori (domestic silkworm). RNAcentral's name for it is "ovarian small RNA-13236". The record is from RNAcentral. Lineage: Eukaryota; Metazoa; Arthropoda; Insecta; Lepidoptera; Bombycidae.